AUGGCUGGCCAUGCGCGCCUACGACGCGCUCAGCGCGCACGAGGCGGCCGCUCCAUGUACUUCGCCAACGACCUAGCUAGUCUACCGUGUCCGCCACGAGCCUGCCUCCUACAGACAUGUGCACGCACGCACCCCCCACGUCCCGCGCUCUCUGGCCACGUACCCGACGCGCACGUACGCAGUCGCCGCGGCCCGAGUCCCGCGCCCGACGUGGUCACUCCUUCACGCUUCUCGCCAACAGACAAUGGCCCACGCGCUCGUACGCGCGGACACACACGCACACAACCCCGCCGCGGACCCGACGCGCCUGACACGCCGCCGCGGCUUAUUCUGGCCAACACGAAACGAACAAACUCAUCUUCAGGCACCCCAAUGUUAGCUCGAGACGAUCAACUGCUGCACCUGGAGGCAGAAGGAAUCAUCUGUCACCAUUUUCUGAUGAGCUUGACAAUAAGCCACCAGACCUGA
RNAcentral lists this ribosomal RNA (468 nucleotides) under Triticum aestivum (bread wheat). RNAcentral describes it as "partial small subunit ribosomal RNA". Lineage: Eukaryota; Viridiplantae; Streptophyta; Magnoliopsida; Poales; Poaceae. The record is from RNAcentral.